RNAcentral lists this ribosomal RNA (636 nucleotides) under uncultured bacterium. RNAcentral describes it as "bacterial SSU rRNA". The stretch from base 1 to 542 matches the Rfam family "Bacterial small subunit ribosomal RNA", at positions 338 to 873 of the family's 1533-position model. The record is from RNAcentral.
CCUACGGGAGGCAGCAGUGGGGAAUUUUGGACAAUGGGCGCAAGCCUGAUCCAGCAAUGCCGCGUGCAGGAUGAAGGCCUUCGGGUUGUAAACUGCUUUUGUACGGAACGAAACGGUCCUUUCUAAUACAGGGGGCUAAUGACGGUACCGUAAGAAUAAGCACCGGCUAACUACGUGCCAGCAGCCGCGGUAAUACGUAGGGUGCGAGCGUUAAUCGGAAUUACUGGGCGUAAAGCGUGCGCAGGCGGUUAUAUAAGACAGAUGUGAAAUCCCCGGGCUCAACCUGGGACCUGCAUUUGUGACUGUAUAGCUAGAGUACGGUAGAGGGGGAUGGAAUUCCGCGUGUAGCAGUGAAAUGCGUAGAUAUGCGGAGGAACACCGAUGGCGAAGGCAAUCCCCUGGGCCUGUACUGACGCUCAUGCACGAAAGCGUGGGGAGCAAACAGGAUUAGAUACCCUGGUAGUCCACGCCCUAAACGAUGUCAACUGGUUGUUGGGUCUUCACUGACUCAGUAACGAAGCUAACGCGUGAAGUUGACCGCCUGGGGGAGGACGGCCGCGAGUAGAACGUACAAANAGAAGUUAGUACGGCGUGAGACGUAGCCGAACGGACGACCGACCGAGGGGAGGGAGGGAG